This 458-nucleotide ribosomal RNA is filed under the name uncultured bacterium. RNAcentral's name for it is "partial 16S ribosomal RNA". It matches the Rfam family "Bacterial small subunit ribosomal RNA", at positions 28 to 523 of the family's 1533-position model. The record is from RNAcentral.
GAUGAACGCUGGCGGCGUGCCUAAUACAUGCAAGUCGAGCGGUAAGGCUACUUCGGUAGUACACGAGCGGCGGACGGCUGAGUAACACGUAGGAACGUACCCCAAACUGAGGGAUAAGCACCAGAAAUGGUGUCUAAUACCGCAUGUGCUCUUCGGAGUAAAGCUACGGCGGUUUGGGAACGGCCUGCGUAAGAUUAGCUAGUUGGUGAGGUAAUAGCUCACCAAGGCGACGAUCUUUAGCUGGUCUGAGAGGAUGAUCAGCCAGACUGGGACUGAGAACGGCCCAGACUCCUACGGGAGGCAGCAGUAGGGAAUUUUCCACAAUGGGGGCAACCCUGAUGGAGCAACGCCGCGUGCAGGAUGAAGGCCUUCGGGUUGUAAACUGCUUUUCUCUGUGACGAAUAUGACGGUAGCAGAGGAAUAAGGACCUGCUAACUACGUGCCAGCAGCCGCCGCGG